CAAGCGGUAGUUUAAAAAUAAAACGCCAAUUUUGCAUGUUGGUAAUUGGCCAAUCCACUGUUUGA
This 65-nucleotide transfer RNA is filed under the name Discocelis tigrina. RNAcentral's name for it is "tRNA-Ala". The record is from RNAcentral. Lineage: Eukaryota; Metazoa; Platyhelminthes; Polycladida; Discocelidae.